GCAUCGGUGGUUCAGGGGUAGAAUGCUCGCCUGCCACGCGGGCAGGCCCGGGUUCGAUUCCCGGCCGAUGCA
This 72-nucleotide transfer RNA is filed under the name Cordylochernes scorpioides. RNAcentral's name for it is "tRNA-Gly". It matches the Rfam family "tRNA". Rfam says of the family: Transfer RNA (tRNA) molecules are approximately 80 nucleotides in length. Their secondary structure includes four short double-helical elements and three loops (D, anti-codon, and T loops). Further hydrogen bonds mediate the characteristic L-shaped molecular structure. tRNAs have two regions of fundamental functional importance: the anti-codon, which is responsible for specific mRNA codon recognition, and the 3' end, to which the tRNAs corresponding amino acid is attached (by aminoacyl-tRNA synthetases). tRNAs cope with the degeneracy of the genetic code in two manners: having more than one tRNA (with a specific anti-codon) for a particular amino acid; and 'wobble' base-pairing, i.e. permitting non-standard base-pairing at the 3rd anti-codon position. The record is from RNAcentral. Lineage: Eukaryota; Metazoa; Arthropoda; Arachnida; Pseudoscorpiones; Chernetidae.